UCAGAAGUGCCGCUUCACAUGAGGGCUGC
RNAcentral lists this non-coding RNA (29 nucleotides) under Homo sapiens (human). Lineage: Eukaryota; Metazoa; Chordata; Mammalia; Primates; Hominidae. The record is from RNAcentral.